RNAcentral lists this long non-coding RNA (461 nucleotides) under Vulpes vulpes (red fox). Its description in RNAcentral is "lncRNA (ENSVVUG00000006380.1)". Lineage: Eukaryota; Metazoa; Chordata; Mammalia; Carnivora; Canidae. The record is from RNAcentral.
GGAUGUUGAGGCACCAAAACCUGGCUCUAUCAUUGUCUAUCACAGGACAACUCACUACUAUCUUUUGGUCACAGUCUCCUUAAUUGUAAAAUAAAGGUGCCAAACUAGAUGAGAUUAAAUACUUCACCAAAUUAUAGAACAUGAAGUUGAAGGAACGGAAGAAAUUCCAUACCUGAAAGCCUUGUUGAGACUCUUCCCCCCAUGUGCCUGGAAAGAGCUCCCCAGGAACUAUUUCCAAACUGGAAGCCUAGAAUUAGACUAUGCCAGGAGAUGGGAGACUGAUGCCCGAAGCAACGAAUUCACUCUCGGACCUAGAACAAACUCUUCUGUGUCCAUGAGCUCCAAUUUCUACAUUAACAGAGAAAGAAAAUAACAAACAUCUAGUACACAGGGUUGGCACAAACUAUAAGAAUAAUAUACUCUCCAAUAAAGAAAUGGCACAGAUCCUAAAACUCGAUCUA